Molecule: transfer RNA, 77 nt
Filed under: Candidatus Alloenteromonas pullistercoris
Lineage: Bacteria; Bacillati; Bacillota
Description: tRNA-Glu
Rfam family: tRNA
About the family: Transfer RNA (tRNA) molecules are approximately 80 nucleotides in length. Their secondary structure includes four short double-helical elements and three loops (D, anti-codon, and T loops). Further hydrogen bonds mediate the characteristic L-shaped molecular structure. tRNAs have two regions of fundamental functional importance: the anti-codon, which is responsible for specific mRNA codon recognition, and the 3' end, to which the tRNAs corresponding amino acid is attached (by aminoacyl-tRNA synthetases). tRNAs cope with the degeneracy of the genetic code in two manners: having more than one tRNA (with a specific anti-codon) for a particular amino acid; and 'wobble' base-pairing, i.e. permitting non-standard base-pairing at the 3rd anti-codon position.
Source: RNAcentral
GGCCCGUUGGAGAAGCGGCUUAACUCAUAUCCCUUUCAAGGAUACAUUCAUGGGUUCGAAUCCCGUACGGGUCACCA